GCCCCGGUGGCGGAACUGGUAGACGCGUAGGUUUCAGGUACCUAUGAUCGAAAGGUUGUGGAGGUUCAAGUCCUCUCCGGGGCACCA
This 87-nucleotide transfer RNA is filed under the name Deltaproteobacteria bacterium. Its description in RNAcentral is "tRNA-Leu". It matches the Rfam family "tRNA". Rfam says of the family: Transfer RNA (tRNA) molecules are approximately 80 nucleotides in length. Their secondary structure includes four short double-helical elements and three loops (D, anti-codon, and T loops). The record is from RNAcentral. Lineage: Bacteria; Pseudomonadati; Myxococcota; Myxococcia.